UAUUAUUUUUGAAAUUUGGUUCAGUUCAAAAUCUGUGAGAGACAUAGGUAAGAGCAGAUUAAGAUGCAUCUGUGGGGAGAAGGCCGGUUGAAGACAUUUAGUAUGAAACUGGAGAAGAGGCAUGUUUAAUGAGCUUGGAGAUGAAAGGAAAAAGAAGAGCAGUGUGUGACUGGUGAGCAGAGGGAAUCAGAAAAAGAACGCUUAUGGUGGGAACGUGAGAACUGAGGGAGGAGUGAACAGCAGUUUGCUCGCUCAGGAUGGAAUAACUGAGGCAAACGGAGGAGUCAGAGAAGAGAAAUUCUUAAUGUGUGACAUGGAAGAAAGAAGGGAGUUACAGGAAAGGAAGUGAUAGAAAGCAGAUGUCUUCAUGUAGAAAACUGAUGAGAUCCCAAUGUGGAGAGCGAAGGAGAGGCAGGAAUGGGGUAAGAGUGAGGAUGAGUCAGGGUAGCAAAAAAACCCACUUGAGAUGUCAGGUGUUGUUCUCAAACUGGAAAAUGAGAAUUGCUUAACUAGGAAACUGGAAGAACUGAAGACGGAAAAAAUGAACUUGUAGAAAGACCGCUUGUCUCAGAGCUAGCUCUUUUGGAGUAGGUGAGAGGCAAAAGAGAAGAAUGAAGGGUGAAGCCAGGAGAAAAUAAACAACGGUGCUUGAGAUAGAAGGAGAAAGGAAAGAAGAAAUGUGAGAAAAGAGAGGAGAAACUAAUAUUGGUAACUACGGAUGGCCUGGAGUUGUGGAAGGAUUGAAUGACAAAGCAUGAGAGAGAAGAGGACCUGAAAUACCAAGAUCUGAUUAUGGGAUCUAAUCUUCCAGCCAUUGGCAGCAGUAGUUACAGAGCUCUGGAUCAGGAGAGGAACAUGGGAAAGGAUUUGUGCUGCUUUUCCACCCUUCUGAAGCAGAUAGCAUCAUGUCUUUCUGGUUGUGAGACCCACCUUGAAGAAAUCCUGUCAGCAUAUGCACGUGCCAAACUAUCAAUGAGCUCAGAAAAAAGCGUAUGGGGCUGCAAAAUGUUGCUAGAUUGAGACUGUUGUUGCUUGAAAAAGAC
This 1043-nucleotide long non-coding RNA is filed under the name Struthio camelus australis. Its description in RNAcentral is "lncRNA (ENSSCUG00000007648.1)". The record is from RNAcentral. Lineage: Eukaryota; Metazoa; Chordata; Aves; Struthioniformes; Struthionidae.